This 217-nucleotide unclassified non-coding RNA is filed under the name plant metagenome. RNAcentral's name for it is "partial contains small subunit ribosomal RNA and internal transcribed spacer 1". The stretch from base 1 to 46 matches the Rfam family "Eukaryotic small subunit ribosomal RNA", at positions 1786 to 1831 of the family's 1831-position model. The record is from RNAcentral.
AAGUCGUAACAAGGUUUCCGUAGGUGAACCUGCGGAAGGAUCAUUACAGAGUUCAUGCCCUUCGGGGUAGACCUCCCACCCUGUGUAUUUAUUACCUUUGUUGCUUUGGCGGGCCGACAGGCUCCGGCCUGGCCCCUGGCUUCGGCGAGGGCGUGCCCGCCAGAGGACCCUAAAACCUGCAUGUUAGUGUCGUCUGAGUACUAUAUAAUAGUUAAAA